AGUGAGAACUUCAUUGAUGA
This 20-nucleotide unclassified non-coding RNA is filed under the name Mus musculus (house mouse). RNAcentral's name for it is "oocyte_clustered_small_RNA10864". The record is from RNAcentral. Lineage: Eukaryota; Metazoa; Chordata; Mammalia; Rodentia; Muridae.